AUCAGCAGGCAUAUCACCCUGUGACUCACAAUUUGCAGCCCACUAAAACUAAGCAGGUGUGAGCCUGGUCAGUACCUGGAUGGGAGACCUCCUGGGAAAAACUAAGGUUGCUGCUGGAA
RNAcentral lists this ribosomal RNA (119 nucleotides) under Lepisosteus oculatus (spotted gar). The record is from RNAcentral. Lineage: Eukaryota; Metazoa; Chordata; Actinopteri; Semionotiformes; Lepisosteidae.